Molecule: ribosomal RNA, 404 nt
Filed under: Actinomycetes bacterium
Lineage: Bacteria; Bacillati; Actinomycetota; Actinomycetes
Also listed under: 1 other name
Description: Actinobacteria bacterium partial 16S ribosomal RNA
Rfam family: Bacterial small subunit ribosomal RNA
Source: RNAcentral
UGGGGAAUAUUGGACAAUGGGCGCAAGCCUGAUCCAGCCAUGCCGCGUGAGUGAUGAAGGCCAUAGGGUUGUAAAGCUCUUUCACCGGUGAAGAUAAUGACGGUAACCGGAGAAGAAGCCCCGGCUAACUUCGUGCCAGCAGCCGCGGUAAUACGAAGGGGGCUAGCGUUGUUCGGAUUUACUGGGCGUAAAGCGCACGUAGGCGGACUUUUAAGUCAGGGGUGAAAUCCCGGGGCUCAACCCCGGAACUGCCUUUGAUACUGGAAGUCUUGAGUAUGGUAGAGGUGAGUGGAAUUCCGAGUGUAGAGGUGAAAUUCGUAGAUAUUCGGAGGAACACCAGUGGCGAAGGCGGCUCACUGGACCAUUACUGACGCUGAGGUGCGAAAGCGUGGGGAGCAAACAGG